AAUAGAUACCCGGGUAGUCCACCCCGUAAACGUUGGGAACUAGUUGUGGGGUCCUUUCCACGGAUUCCGUGACGCAGCUAACGCAUUAAGUUCCCCGCCUGGGGAGUACGGCCGCAAGGCUAAAACUCAAAGGAAUUGACGGGGACCCGCACAAGCGGCGGAGCAUGCGGAUUAAUUCGAUGCAACGCGAAGAACCUUACCAAGGCUUGACAUACACCAGAACACCCUGGAAACAGGGGACUCUUUGGACACUGGUGAACAGGUGGUGCAUGGUUGUCGUCAGCUCGUGUCGUGAGAUGUUGGGUUAAGUCCCGCAACGAGCGCAACCCUCGUUCUAUGUUGCCAGCACGUAAUGGUGGGAACUCAUGGGAUACUGCCGGGGUCAACUCGGAGGAAGGUGGGGAUGACGUCAAAUCAUCAUGCCCCUUAUGUCUUGGGCUUCACGCAUGCUACAAUGGCCGGUACAAUGGGCUGCGAUACCGUAAGGUGGAGCGAAUCCCAAAAAGCCGGUCCCAGUUCGGAUUGAGGUCUGCAACUCGACCUCA
This 545-nucleotide ribosomal RNA is filed under the name uncultured bacterium. Its description in RNAcentral is "bacterial SSU rRNA". It matches the Rfam family "Bacterial small subunit ribosomal RNA", at positions 777 to 1320 of the family's 1533-position model. The record is from RNAcentral.